UCCCUGGUGGUCCAGUGGUUAAGACUCCUCCUUCUAACGCAGGAGACACAAGUUUGAUCCCUGGUCAGGGAG
RNAcentral lists this transfer RNA (72 nucleotides) under Bos taurus (domestic cattle). It matches the Rfam family "tRNA". From Rfam's summary of the family: Transfer RNA (tRNA) molecules are approximately 80 nucleotides in length. The record is from Rfam by way of RNAcentral. RNAcentral also lists the same sequence under 2 other names. Lineage: Eukaryota; Metazoa; Chordata; Mammalia; Artiodactyla; Bovidae.